UACGUAGGGGGCAAGCGUUGUCCGGAUUUAUUGGGCGUAAAGAGCGUGUAGGCGGCCAUGUAGGUCAGUUGUGAAAACUCGAGGCUCAACCUCGAGACGCCGAUGGAAACCAUGUGGCUAGAGUCCGGAAGAGGAGAGUGGAAUUCCUGGUGUAGCGGUGAAAUGCGCAGAUAUCAGGAAGAACACCCGUGGCUAAGGCGGCUCUCUAGUACGGUACUGACGCUGAGACGCGAAAGCGUGGGGAGCGAACAGG
RNAcentral lists this ribosomal RNA (253 nucleotides) under uncultured bacterium. RNAcentral's name for it is "partial 16S ribosomal RNA". It matches the Rfam family "Bacterial small subunit ribosomal RNA", at positions 524 to 776 of the family's 1533-position model. The record is from RNAcentral.